AGAGUUUGAUCAUGGCUCAGGACGAACGCUGGCGGCGCGCCUAACACAUGCAAGUCGAACGGAGCGCAGCGGAAGAAUUCCUUCGGGGAGGAUUUUGCUGUUGCUUAGUGGCGAACGGGUGAGUAACACGUGAGCAACCUACCCUCUAGCGGGGGACAACAUUUGGAAACAGAUGCUAAUACCGCAUAAGACCACAGAGCCGCAUGGCUCGGUGGCCAAAGGAGCAAUUCACUAGAGGAUGGGCUCGCGUCCGAUUAGGUAGAUGGUGAGGUAACGGCCCACCAUGCCGACGAUCGGUAGCCGGACUGAGAGGUUGAUCGGCCACAUUGGGACUGAGACACGGCCCAGACUCCUACGGGAGGCAGCAGUGGGGAAUAUUGCACAAUGGGGGAAACCCUGAUGCAGCGACGCCGCGUGGAGGAAGAAGGUUUUCGGAUUGUAAACUCCUGUCUUAGGGGACGAAGAAGUGACGGUACCCUAGGAGGAAGCCACGGCUAACUACGUGCCAGCAGCCGCGGUAAAACGUAGGUGGCAAGCGUUGUCCGGAAUUACUGGGUGUAAAGGGAGCGCAGGCGGGCUGACAAGUUGGACGUGAAAUCUAUGGGCUCAACCCAUAGCGUGCGUUCAAAACUGUUGGUCUUGAGUGAUGGAGAGGCAGGCGGAAUUCCCGGUGUAGCGGUGGAAUGCGUAGAUAUCGGGAGGAACACCAGUGGCGAAGGCGGCCUGCUGGACAUUAACUGACGCUGAGGCUCGAAAGUGUGGGGAGCAAACAGGAUUAGAUACCCUGGUAGUCCACACCGUAAACGAUGAUUACUAGGUGUAGGGGGAUAGACCCCCUCUGUGCCGCAGCUAACGCAAUAAGUAAUCCACCUGGGGAGUACGGUCGCAAGACUGAAACUCAAAGGAAUUGACGG
This 914-nucleotide ribosomal RNA is filed under the name uncultured microorganism. Its description in RNAcentral is "bacterial SSU rRNA". It matches the Rfam family "Bacterial small subunit ribosomal RNA", at positions 8 to 916 of the family's 1533-position model. The record is from RNAcentral.